UGAGGAAUAUUGCGCAAUGGGGGAAACCCUAAUCCGGCAAGGCCGGGUGGGUAAGGAAGGUCUUGGGGUUGUAAGGUAUUUUAAGGGGGAAGGAAUGGAAAAUGGUUAAUACCUGGUUUUUUUGACGGUACCCAUAAAAGAAGCACCGGCUAACUUCGUGCCAGCAGCCGCGGUAAUACGGAGGGGGCAAGCGUUAAUCGGAAUUACUGGGCGUAAAGGGCGCGUAGGGGGUUUAUUAAGUGAGAUGUGUAAUCCCCGGGCUGAACCUGGGAACUGCAUCUCAUACUGGGAGGCUAGAGUACUGGAGAGGGUGGUAGAAUUCCACGUGUAGCGGUGAAAUGCGUAGAGAUGUGGAGGAAUACCAGUGGCGAAGGCGGCCACCUGGACAGUAACUGACGCUGAGGCGCGAAAGCUAGGGUAGCAAACG
This 427-nucleotide ribosomal RNA is filed under the name uncultured prokaryote. Its description in RNAcentral is "bacterial SSU rRNA". It matches the Rfam family "Bacterial small subunit ribosomal RNA", at positions 355 to 774 of the family's 1533-position model. The record is from RNAcentral.